RNAcentral lists this ribosomal RNA (500 nucleotides) under uncultured bacterium. Its description in RNAcentral is "partial 16S ribosomal RNA". It matches the Rfam family "Bacterial small subunit ribosomal RNA", at positions 29 to 523 of the family's 1533-position model. The record is from RNAcentral.
AUUGAACGCUGGCGGCAUGCCUCACACAUGCAAGUCGAACGGCAGCGCGGACUUCGGUCUGGCGGCGAGUGGCGAACGGGUGAGUAAUACAUCGGAACGUACCCUGUUGUGGGGGAUAACUAGUCGAAAGAUUAGCUAAUACCGCAUACGACCUGAGGGUGAAAGUGGGGGACCGCAAGGCCUCACGCAGCAGGAGCGGCCGAUGUCUGAUUAGCUAGUUGGUGGGGUAAAGGCCGACCAAGGCGACGAUCAGUAGCUGGUCUGAGAGGACGAUCAGCCACACUGGGACUGAGACACGGCCCAGACUCCUACGGGAGGCAGCAGUGGGGAAUUUUGGACAAUGGGGGCAACCCUGAUCCAGCAAUGCCGCGUGUGUGAAGAAGGCCUUCGGGUUGUAAAGCACUUUUGUCCGGAAAGAAAUCGCGCUGGUUAAUACCUGGCGUGGAUGACGGUACCGGAAGAAUAAGCACCGGCUAACUAUGUGCCAGCAGCCGCCGUAA